AGUCAGCCAUCUUAAAGCUUCUUCCCACCAAAUUUUUGAAAUCCUCUUGAACUCUUGUAGCCAAUAAUAGGUCAGGCCUAUUUUUUUAUAUAUCAGGUUUUUGUUUGUUUUUAUUUGAAUAGUGCCUAGGAACUCAGAAUGCUUUUGGAAGCUUUUAAUCUGAGCAAUUGGGUCAUUUUUAGCUGCAUGAGAGGCAAUGCCUAGAUGGUAGACUAGAAGCAGCUCAUGUGCGCUGUUCUCAAAGAAAGGAAACAAAAGGGCUAGUGAACACUAACCCUGCAGGUUGAUCUUCUGAGAAACCAGGUCAGGAUCCAUCAAUGCAGCAGGGGAACACAGAGAGCAAAGGAUCAAAGUUGGUCAACAGCCAGCUUGGACUCAGCAAAGAGCCAGGAGAACCUCUCUAACACGGGGAAGAGUGAGUGAGAUCUCCUAAGGAGAUUCACACUCUGACAAGGACCUGUGCAAGACUAGGAAUGGGAGAAUCCCCCGUCCCCCUGUCCCCCUACUACACUUCUAAGACUGAGGCAGAAAACUGUUGAGACUUUUUCAUGGACAACUUUUAAGUCCAUAGGGACUUCUACAAGCCUUGGGCCCAGAAAAGACCAAUACUUGCACCAUAGCUCCAGUAGAGGCCAAAGUGGCAGUAUCUGGGAACUGUAAGAUUGCUUUCCUUCCCCUUGCUGGAAGAGGCUCAGCACCAGCUUCUAGCCUAGUGGUCCUACUUUGGCUUGAAUUCGGCCAGCCAUUUCACCCACCUUGCCAAUGGUAGCCAAAUUGGAAAUGCCUGAUAUAGCCUUCAGCCUCAUGUUCUCCCUUUUGUGUGAACUCAGCUGGAGGGUGAAGCCUCCUGAUGUUCUAGGAGACAUACUGACAGCAGGGCACAUGACCCCAUCCAGCCACACCACUGAUAGCCAGGAUGUCAGUGCUUGCUAGAGCUUCUGCCCUGGUGAUCUUGCUUUUUUGUGAACUCAGCUGGAUGGUGCCACUUCCUGUUGUCCUGGAAAAUACCCAAAUGGCAGAGUGUGUGACCCCACCUUCCCUGCCACUGGAAGCCAGGUGGGCAACACCUGUUAGAGCUUCUGGCCCCACAGCCCACUUCUGUUUGAGCACAGUUAGAGGGUGCAGCUUCCUGUUUUACCAAGGAACACCUGGAUGACAGAGCACAUGACCCCACCCGACUCUGCCACUGGAAACCAGAAGACCAAAUCUCCAGGAUUGUGAUUCCAUCAGAGAAUGUUUAGAACAUAUGCAUGGGCAAAGACUUCAUGACUGAAAC
This is a long non-coding RNA of Cercocebus atys (sooty mangabey), 1276 nucleotides long. RefSeq lists it as uncharacterized. NCBI's taxonomy places the organism in Eukaryota, Metazoa, Chordata, Mammalia, Primates, Cercopithecidae. The record is from RefSeq and is a predicted model, not a curated record. The transcript has 3 exons.